GUGAUAUCUUUUUAGGUUUAUAUUGAUGGUGUUGUCCAGAAAGUUGAGGCAUUAAUCGAGAUAAAGGAAAACAUUCAUCUAUUUUCAUCUUCUAGGUUAAAGGACUUUAACAUAAUACAUGACCAUGACCAGAAGUGCACCUCGAUGGAAUACUUUCAUUUCAUAAUCAGACGGUUAAACUAUAUGGUGUUUGUCAUCAAAAUGUCAAAGAAAAGGAUAAUUGAAAAUGUAGUCUAAUUUCAUUGAAGAUAUCCUCAGAAGUUUUGAAGGGUAUGUUGGGUGCCAUAUGAUGAACCAUCGUAAAAGUACUCACGAGAAUUGAAAUCAUAGAGCCACCUAAAUCAGAAUUCAAAAUAGACAUACAAAUCAAGAAGUUGUUUAAAAAAGCCAUAGAAAUUAUAAAAUAUGGUUAUUUUCGGAGCAAAACGAUUAGUUGUAAUGGCAUACCUGUAAACUACAGACAUCCAAGGUCUAAUAGGGCUGUAGCCUAAUAUAACUGCCUUCCUCAGAGUAGGGACUGAAUCAAAUGUCUUCGUGCAACCUGGAAUAGAGAAAAAUGUGAAAGUUAUAGUUUUUAUAUAUAGAUGUAAAAAUGAGUAUAAAAUACAACAAUCUAAUUUCUACUAUUCGUUUUUCUAAGGGUGAAAGUGAUA
This 653-nucleotide long non-coding RNA is filed under the name Solanum tuberosum (potato). Its description in RNAcentral is "long non-coding RNA (STUB_LNC002388)". The record is from RNAcentral. Lineage: Eukaryota; Viridiplantae; Streptophyta; Magnoliopsida; Solanales; Solanaceae.